This 350-nucleotide ribosomal RNA is filed under the name Cyzicus setosa. RNAcentral's name for it is "partial 16S ribosomal RNA". It matches the Rfam family "Bacterial large subunit ribosomal RNA", at positions 1857 to 2597 of the family's 2925-position model. The record is from RNAcentral. Lineage: Eukaryota; Metazoa; Arthropoda; Branchiopoda; Diplostraca; Cyzicidae.
GCCUGCCGGCCGCGGUAUCCUGACCGUGCGAAGGUAGCAUAAUCAUUAGUCUCUUAAUUAGAGGCUGGCAUGAACGGCUGAACGAGAAAAAACCUGUCUUAGAAUUUUAUUAUUAAGUGAAAAAGCUUAAAUACCUCUGGAGGACGAUAAGACCCUAUAGAGCUUCUUGGUUGGGGCGACAUUUAGAGAUCCUUAAAGAAAGAUCAAAAGAAUAAGUUACCUUAGGGAUAACAGCGUAAUCCUUUUCAAGAGUUCCCAUCGACAAAAGGGUUUGCGACCUCGAUGUUGGAUUAAGAAAUUGUUUGGGUGCAGCAGCUCAAAUAAAAGGUCUGUUCGACCUUUAAAUUCUU